GACGAACGCUGGCGGCGUGCUUAACACAUGCGAGUCGAACGGAAAGGCCCUGCUUUUGUGGGGUGCUCGAGUGGCGAACGGGUGAGUAACACGUGAGUAACCUGCCCUUGACUUUGGGAUAACUUCAGGAAACUGGGGCUAAUACCGGAUAGGAGCUCCUGCUGCAUGGUGGGGGUGGGAAAGUUUCGGCGGUUGGGGAUGGACUCGCGGCUUAUCAGCUUGUUGGUGGGGUAGUGGCUUACCAAGGCUUUGACGGGUAGCCGGCCUGAGAGGGUGACCGGCCACAUUGGGACUGAGAUACGGCCCAGACUCCUACGGGAGGCAGCAGUGGGGAAUAUUACACAAUGGGCGGAAGCCUGAUGCAGCAACGCCGCGUGCGGGAUGACGGCCUUCGGGUUGUAAACCGCUUUCGCCUGUGACGAAGCGUGAGUGACGGUAAUGGGUAAAGAAGCACCGGCUAACUACGUG
RNAcentral lists this ribosomal RNA (468 nucleotides) under uncultured bacterium. RNAcentral's name for it is "partial 16S ribosomal RNA". It matches the Rfam family "Bacterial small subunit ribosomal RNA", at positions 28 to 507 of the family's 1533-position model. The record is from RNAcentral.